Molecule: long non-coding RNA, 2190 nt
Organism: Cygnus olor (mute swan)
Lineage: Eukaryota; Metazoa; Chordata; Aves; Anseriformes; Anatidae
Exons: 3
Source: RefSeq, a predicted model, not a curated record
CAGGCCUCAGCCAAAUAGGGGAAAGAAUGCUCCUUAAGAACAAGGAGAUAAAGGCCAAAUGAAAAAUGUUGAGGUGACUUUGCAAGUGUUUGAAGAAAGUGAAGAUUUCUCUGAAUAUGUGAAGGACUAGAGUUAGGAAACUUGAUUCUAGGAUGCCAUCUUGUUGCAAUGCAUCUCAGUCAACCUCAAUGCAGUCUCCAAUGAUUGUAGUGAGGUCUGAACUGCUGUUCAAGUGGCAAAUUGGCAAAGGCAUGUGGCUACCUAAGAAUGUAUGUAGACAUCGAGCACUGACUUUAAAAGUAGGCUGUCAUGAGGUGCUCUGCUGGCUGGAAGCAUUCUGGGAACGCAUCUGUGGCUGGAGGUGUGCAGCAACACGGAGUGCUGGGGGAAGGAGCAUGAACUGGUUAUGGUUUGAAAAACAAAGCUAUUAGACAAGGGAGAGAAAAGGGAGGGAGAGCAUGGCAUUAGAUUUUCUGGGCAUUAGUGACUGUGGAGGGAGUCAGUUACAGCUUCAUAGUUUAGUGUGGAAAUUUAUUCUGCCUCAGAACUUGGCCACAGGGCAACAAUGCCUACCAGUCUCACAACUCUAAAUCUUUCUGGCUUUCAGACAGGUUUUGCAGAUGUCUCUUCUGUGCUUAAACACUGCUUCUGCCCCUCAAUUCAAUGAGGAAAUAGACCACAAACAGCACCUCCAUUAGAUCCUGAGCUUCUCCCAGUCACCUGAAAUCUAUAGGGCUCCUUAGUGGUUCCUGAAAUCAGAUUCUACUUACUGGGUCUAAGCGAAGCUGCCUGGACUGGCUGGCUGUCUUAACCUGCUCCAAAGCAGGAAUAUUUCCAAGUCAAAUCUUACAUCAAAUGAAGUCUAGGGGAAAGCUGAUACAAGCAACUAGGCAUUCACCACAUAGGAUCUGGAGAGGAGGGAGACAACUCUGCCUUUAAAAUCUCUUCCUGCUUAAAAAGCACUUCUCGCAAGUCUUAAAUAGCACAUCUUCAACUCAACAUUUGUCCCUGAGAAAUAUGUUUGAUGCUGUAUAAUUAAAGAGCACAACAUACAGAUGUAAUUAGUAUCCUGCAAAAAUAGCUUUUGCACUACCAGGCUCAUUCAGAUGGCAGAAAUGCAUGUUUGCAUGUGCUAUUUGCAGGCUGUUCUUGCAUCCUUGAUGUACCCCUGUGCCUAUGUCACAGGAGCCAUCUACCUGACAGCUCCCCAUCAGAAUUCUCCCCCCCAAAAUUGGGGAGUUGCUCCCUGAUGCCUCCCCUUGCAGUGUGUGGCUGGGCCGGGGCUGGGGGAGGAAUGCCCUGGGAAUGCCCAGGGUGCUUCCACAGCCUGGCUCCUUGGAGCUGUGUUGUGUUCACAGGCUCUCAGUCUGUCGAGUGUGGGCUGCAGGCAACUGCAUUUGGUGUUGUCAUAGCUGAGCCUAGAAACUCUCCAUGCUCACUGACACCCCAGUCUUUGUAGCUUGCGGCAUGGGAGGAAAGGGAUGUCUGCCAACACACCUGUUUUUCAAAACAUUAAAUGCUCUGAAUCAAGUGGUAGCAUGUUUUGACAAGGUAAGUCAUCCUUUUUGAAAUGGCCUUGGCUUGAUGUCUCAUUCAUUCUCAUGAGCCGUGUUUGUACUAGCAGGCUGCUGCUCCAACACAGCAACGUCACCUAGUGCAUUUAAGCUUUAUACGUACUGUACCUGCAGGACACGUUGCAAACAGCCAGGAAGCCCCAAGAACCUGUGUUUCAGGUGCAUUAGAGAACUAAUCUUUCCUCUCUUCCAUUUAAGGCUUUCUGAUCUGUGCUCUUUAGGAGAGGACAGUAUGUAUGUAGGUUACUGAGAACUAUUUGUUUAAUAAAACCUGCCAGUAAAUCCUUUGCUGCCCAUAGAUCAAUCUCUCCACAUACAGGGAAUCAAAAUCACCUUGUUGCGGGUUUCUGCAUGACUUUCAGAGCGUGGUGUGAUGCAAUCGGACAGGAUGCUCUUGGUAUUGCUUUUUGUGCAAGUCGUGGGCCACAGGGCAUUGUGUCUAACUUGGCAACUUUAGCCUUAAGUCUUAAAUGAAGAAAACAAGCAGAUAAAUCCUAGGAGCUUUUCUUCCAAAGAACAAUUAGUGACUUCAUAAUGCCUGGUUAAUGUAGUAGUUAAUUGCUGACUAUUACAGUCCUUUUUGGAGGACUAAAACAAUGUAUCAAUAAAUCAGCAC